UUAUUAAAUUUAUUCUUUUUUAUUUUAAUUUAUUAAAAGUAAUUAUAAAAGUAACUUGUUUUAGUAUUUUAUUAAAAAAAAAUAAUUAUAAUAAUAGUGUAAUAGUAUUGUGAAAGAAAAUUGAAAUAAUUUGAAAAAUUUUUGUUUUAAAAGAAAAUUUAAUUAAUUGUACCUUGUGUAUCAGGGUUUAUUAAAUAAAGGUUAUGUAAAUAAUUUUCUCGAUUUUAAAAGAGUUAAUAUAUUAUUAAAGUUAAUGUUGUAAAAUUAUUUUAAAUAAUAUAUUAGAAAUGAAAUGUUAUUCGUUUUUAAAGGUAUCUAGUUCUUUAAGAAAUAAAUUUAAUUUAUAAAUUUUUUAUUAUUUAGUUUAAUUAAUUAAUUAAAUAAUUAUUUAAUUUAAAUAUUUUAUGGGAUAAGCUAUAAAAUAAAUUUUUAAAAAUAUAUAAAUAUAUUAAUAAAUAUAAGCUUAGAAGUAGCUAUUAUUAAUGAAAGUGUUAUAAUUUAUUUAUAAAAUUAUAAUUAUUUAUUAAGUUUUAAUUAUUUAUUAAAGUAUUUAUUUUAAUUAUAAAAAUAAAAUAAUUAUGGUAAAAUUAGUAUAUUGAAUUUGUUUAAAUAAGUUUGUAAGAAAAGUUUUAUUAAAGAAUUCGGCAAAAAUAAUAUUCGCCUGUUUAACAAAAACAUGUCUUUUUAGUAUUUAUAAAAAGUCUAACCUGCCCACUGAUUAAUUUUAAAUGGCCGCAGUAUACUAACUGUGCAAAGGUAGCAUAAUAAUUAGUCUUUUAAUUGAAGGCUGGUAUGAAUGGUUGGACGAGAUAUUAACUGUUUCAAUUAAAUUUAUAAUAAAAUUUUAUUUUUUAGUCAAAAAGCUAAAAUGAAUUUAAAAGACGAGAAGACCCUAUAAAUCUUUAUAUUUAAAUUAUUAUAAUUUUGUAGAAGAUUUAUGUUAUAAUAAUAAAUAAUAUUUUAUUGGGGUGAUAUUAAAAUUUAAUAAACUUUUAAUUUUAAAAAUCAUUAAUUUAUGAAUAUUUGAUCCGUUAUUAACGAUUAAAAAAACAAGUUACUUUAGGGAUAACAGCGUAAUUUUUUUGGAGAGUUCAUAUCGAUAAAAAAGAUUGCGACCUCGAUGUUGGAUUAAGAUAUAAUUUUAGGUGUAGCUGCUUAGAUUUUAAGUCUGUUCGACUUUUAAAUUCUUACAUGAUCUGAGUUCAGACCGGCGUAAGCCAGGUUGGUUUCUAUCUUUAAAUAAUAAAAAUAUUUCAGUACGAAAGGACCUAAUAUUUAAUAAAUUAUUAUUUUUAUGUUGAAUAUAAUUAACAUUUUUAUUA
RNAcentral lists this ribosomal RNA (1322 nucleotides) under Pollenia rudis. RNAcentral's name for it is "16S ribosomal RNA". The stretch from base 1065 to 1224 matches the Rfam family "Archaeal large subunit ribosomal RNA", at positions 2544 to 2703 of the family's 2987-position model. Lineage: Eukaryota; Metazoa; Arthropoda; Insecta; Diptera; Polleniidae. The record is from RNAcentral.